GCACCGUUAAGCACUAAGCUAAGGAGACGUAUGACGGUGUGGGUGUUUAGAUCCACGUAUUUUUGACAUUGGUACAAGCAAAAAAUUUGCAGAAAAAUGAAGUGUGUGAGCCGUGGUUGUCGCGUCUUUGUGAUCCCAUGCACGCUCGAUUUACACAACUGUAGUCUGUUGCCACGUCUGUUUUGUACCUCAAUAAUUCACUCUUGAGAACAGUUCCUCUGACCAGUUUCGGAAUUAUAUGGACACAUUCAUAGCGGAAAAAAUAAGCCAAAGUUUGUUAAAUGGAUAUGGGUAUGAUAAUAUUUUAAUUGUGAAGUGAAGAAUUAUUCAGUUGGAAUGAAGAGGAGUGGGAGUAUAAUGGUUAUCAUCGGACUUUACAGAGUUGCCUUCAGGUGGUGGUGCAGAAAAACAAGUAUUUAUUGAGACCAUCAAAAUGUCUUUGAUAAAUCAGACAAUUAAAGAAGAACAGUUCAUACUGGAAGAUGAAUCCCAUGAGGAUCAUGUGAAGGAGCUGGAUGGAAUGCAGUAUAUAAAGCAGGAACCCUUUAGCUCACUGGAUGAGAAUGAUAAUGAGCCAUCCAACAUCUCAGGACUUGAAAGAAAGCAGUCGCUGGUCAUGGAGCAGGCAUGUGACAUUGAAAUGAAAUCUGAACCACUUCUAGAAGAGUCCAAGCCUGUAAUAAAGGAGCAAGUUGCAAUUGCCCCGUUUACACCACAGGAGGGUGUGGCUUUGCCAGCAGCAUGGACUCUCCAUAUUUAUAUCUCCUGGAGAGAGGGUGUACCAUCAUUUAAGCCCCUGGGUUCCACAUUGAGCCAUGGGUUAUGGAAAGCAUUACUCAUGACCAUGUUGGGAGAGCCCUGGUGUAAAGUGACUUUGAUCUUUUCAGGUAAAAACUGAAACUUGUGAUCACAUCUCCGAAGAUGAUACAAAGCACAGUUCAACUUUAGCAAAGCCACAAUGUGGGGAAGAAACUGAAGAAAGAUAUAUUCAGAAUGAAAUUUUUCAGGAUGAUGUCACCAAGAACUCUCAUGGACUUUACCCAGAAGAAUUGCAGAGGAUAGACAAUGCACAUGAAGAGAGUGCUUCUACAAAAGGCGCUGAAAUUAAGGUUCCAGAAGUUACUGAAAGCAAUUUGAGAGGUGGAAAACAUCAAAAGAAACAGAAGAAAAAGAAUUUGAGAGGUGAAGAGCACAAGUCUGCAUCUUGUCAGUUUCAAGAAAUUCUAUUUUGUGAUUUAUGUGGGGAGAAUUUUACACAAAAAAGGUAUCUAGCCAGACACAUAAGUAGCCACCUAAACAAAGAAAGAUCUGUUGGUAUUGUAUCUUGUGAUUUAUGUGGGAAGAGUUUUUCACAAAGAAGCCAUCUAGUCGGACACAUGAGAAGCCACAAAAGCAAAGGACUAUAUGUCUGUAAUGAAUGUGGAGUAAGAUGCUCAAGACCCGAUACACUGAAGAGACAUAAGACUCUACAUAU
This is an RNA transcript of Cryptotermes secundus, 1474 nucleotides long. RefSeq lists it as uncharacterized. The record is from RefSeq and is a predicted model, not a curated record. The transcript is spliced from 7 exons. NCBI's taxonomy places the organism in Eukaryota, Metazoa, Arthropoda, Insecta, Blattodea, Kalotermitidae.